UGUUUAGAGGAGGAGGAAAAGCAGCUUCAUAAAAUCCAAAUUCCUGGUUGAAGUUUUCACAUUUUGGACAUAAACAGCAACUUCUCUUCGGAAAGACGAUGAAGCAUCAGAUCUGUCUCUCACUCCUGCUCACAGCUCUGCUGGUCUGUGGAUCACCAGAGGAAAUUUGUCAGGGAAACAGCUGCACUACUGAUGGAUGCCCCUGGACUUUGAACAUUAGCUGCAACAACCUGAUUAAUGCCUGGCAGCUUCAAUGUAGAAGAGAUCAUUUUAAUCUGUCCUUCAGCUGUGUAAACAAACCUCAUCGAUACGUCUUUCAAUGCCAUGUCCCCCUUCCAGAAACUCUCAUAUUGAACAGGAAUGGCCAAAAUUAUUGCAGCAGCAGCAGCAGCAAUACCAACAACGGCAACAACGGC
This is a long non-coding RNA of Poecilia reticulata (guppy), 416 nucleotides long. RefSeq lists it as uncharacterized. Lineage: Eukaryota; Metazoa; Chordata; Actinopteri; Cyprinodontiformes; Poeciliidae. The record is from RefSeq and is a predicted model, not a curated record.